CAACAGAGCACAUUAAAUCUUAAA
Molecule: non-coding RNA, 24 nt
Filed under: Arabidopsis thaliana (thale cress)
Lineage: Eukaryota; Viridiplantae; Streptophyta; Magnoliopsida; Brassicales; Brassicaceae
Source: RNAcentral